RNAcentral lists this long non-coding RNA (209 nucleotides) under Nicotiana benthamiana. Its description in RNAcentral is "long non-coding RNA (NBEN_LNC032524)". Lineage: Eukaryota; Viridiplantae; Streptophyta; Magnoliopsida; Solanales; Solanaceae. The record is from RNAcentral.
CUCAUUUUGCCAGCACUACUCGUGAGCUUUGGCUACCUUGCUAUGAAGGCAUCAAAUUUUCAGCCUACAUAACAUUGAGCAACAGAUUACAUAACAAUGAUGGAAAUAGAUUACUAGAUUCAUAUGAACUUUAGGAAACAUGUGAUGGCAAUAGAAAAUAUUUGACAAAAAACAUUUACCUUACAAUAUCUUUUGUUAUGUCCUUGUUG